UGGGGAAUUUUGGACAAUGGGGGAAACCCUGAUCCAGCCAUCCCGCGUGUGCGAUGAAGGCCUUCGGGUUGUAAAGCACUUUUGGCAGGAAAGAAACGUCAUGGGUUAAUACCCCGUGAAACUGACGGUACCUGCAGAAUAAGCACCGGCCACCUACGUGCCAGCAGGCGCGGUAAUACGUAGGGUGCAAGCGUUAAUCGGAAUUACUGGGCGUAAAGCGUGCGCAGGCGGUUCGGAAAGAAAGAUGUGAAAUCCCAGAGCUCAACUUUGGAACUGCAAUUUAAACUACCGGGCUAGAGUGUGUCAGAGGGAGGUGGAAUUCCGCGUGUAGCAGUGAAAUACGUAGAUAUGCGGAUGACCACCGAUGGCGAAGGCGGCCUCCAGGGAUAACACUGACGCUCAUGCACGAAAGCGUGGGGAGCAAACAGG
This 429-nucleotide ribosomal RNA is filed under the name Acidobacteriota bacterium. RNAcentral describes it as "Acidobacteria bacterium partial 16S ribosomal RNA". It matches the Rfam family "Bacterial small subunit ribosomal RNA", at positions 355 to 776 of the family's 1533-position model. The record is from RNAcentral. Lineage: Bacteria; Pseudomonadati; Acidobacteriota.